AUUGAACGCUGGCGGCAGGCCUAACACAUGCAAGUCGAGCGGAUGAAGGGAGCUUGCUCCUGGAUUCAGCGGCGGACGGGUGAGUAAUGCCUAGGAAUCUGCCUGGUAGUGGGGGAUAACGUCCGGAAACGGGCGCUAAUACCGCAUACGUCCUGAGGGAGAAAGUGGGGGAUCUUCGGACCUCACGCUAUCAGAUGAGCCUAGGUCGGAUUCGCUAGUUGGUGGGGUAAAGGCCUACCAAGGCGACGAUCCGUAACUGGUCUGAGAGGAUGAUCAGUCACACUGGAACUGAGACACGGUCCAGACUCCUACGGGAGGCAGCAGUGGGGAAUAUUGGACAAUGGGCGAAAGCCUGAUCCAGCCAUGCCGCGUGUGUGAAGAAGGUCUUCGGAUUGUAAAGCACUUUAAGUUGGGAGGAAGGGUAGUAAGUUAAUACCUUGCUGUUUUGACGUUACCAACAGAAUAAGCACCGGCUAACUUCGUG
RNAcentral lists this ribosomal RNA (484 nucleotides) under uncultured bacterium. RNAcentral's name for it is "partial 16S ribosomal RNA". It matches the Rfam family "Bacterial small subunit ribosomal RNA", at positions 30 to 507 of the family's 1533-position model. The record is from RNAcentral.